CCUACGGGAGGCAGCAGUGGGGAAUUUUGGACAAUGGGGGAAACCCUGAUCCAGCCAUUCCGCGUGAGUGAAGAAGGCCUUCGGGUUGUAAAGCUCUUUUGUCGGGGACGAAACGGUUACGAUUAAUACUCGUGACAACUGACGGUACCCGAAGAAUAAGCACCGGCUAACUACGUGCCAGCAGCCGCGGUAAUACGUAGGGUGCAAGCGUUAAUCGGAAUUACUGGGCGUAAAGCGUGCGCAGGCGGUUGUGUAAGCCAGAUGUGAAAUCCCCGGGCUUAACCUGGGAAUGGCAUUUGGGACUGCACGGCUAGAGUAUGGCAGAGGAGACUAGAAUUCCUGGUGUAGCAGUGAAAUGCGUAGAUAUCAGGAGGAAUACCGAUGGCGAAGGCAGGUCUCUGGGUCAAUACUGACGCUCAUGCACGAAAGCGUGGGGAGCAAACAGGAUUAGAUACCCUGGUAGUCCACGCCCUAAACCGAUGUCAACUGGUUGUUGGGGGAUUUAUUCUCUUAGUUAACGAAGCUAACGCGUGAAGUUGACCGCCNGGGGAGUACGGUCGCGAAGAUUAAACGUCAAAUUGAAUUGACGGCUGNGNGNGCGAGACGACGACGAGGAGGAGG
Molecule: ribosomal RNA, 621 nt
Filed under: uncultured bacterium
Lineage: Bacteria
Description: bacterial SSU rRNA
Rfam family: Bacterial small subunit ribosomal RNA
Source: RNAcentral